This 568-nucleotide ribosomal RNA is filed under the name uncultured bacterium. RNAcentral's name for it is "bacterial SSU rRNA". It matches the Rfam family "Bacterial small subunit ribosomal RNA", at positions 381 to 948 of the family's 1533-position model. The record is from RNAcentral.
GUCGCAGCUGAUCACAUCGCGUGGGACGAAGCCUUCGGGUUGUACUGCUUUUGUACAGAACGAAAAGCUCUGGGUUAAUACCCUGGGUCAUGACGGUACUGUAAGAAUAAGCACCGGCUAACUACGUGCCAGCAGCCGCGGUAAUACGUAGGGUGCGAGCGUUAAUCGGAAUUACUGGGCGUAAAGCGUGCGCAGGCGGUUAUGUAAGACAGAGGUGAAAUCCCCGGGCUCAACCUGGGAACUGCCUUUGUGACUGCAUAGCUAGAGUACGGCAGAGGGGGAUGGAAUUCCGCGUGUAGCAGUGAAAUGCGUAGAUAUGCGGAGGAACACCGAUGGCGAAGGCAAUCCCCUGGGCCUGUACUGACGCUCAUGCACGAAAGCGUGGGGAGCAAACAGGAUUAGAUACCCUGGUAGUCCACGCCCUAAACGAUGUCAACUGGUUGUUGGGUCUUCACUGACUCAGUAACGAAGCUAACGCGUGAAGUUGACCGCCUGGGGAGUACGGNCGCAAGGUUGAAACUCAAAGGAAUUGACGGGGACCCGUACAAGCGGUGGAUGAUGUGGGUAA